UCCUUCCUCCCCUGGCGCAUGGAACUAUCUCCUGAGUGCUACAAGUUGUAGCGGGCACCGCUGAGUGUGUUUUCCUUCGGGGCACUUUUUAUCUAGCAGCUGACUUUAGUUUCUUCUAAACUAAGCCACUUCGCCCCUUUACACUGUCCUGAGUAAGGAACAAACUGCCAAGCAUCAACGGAGCCUUGAUGAGCCCGCGCCGCGGAGCAGCUUAGCAGUCUCCUGGGACCCAGCUCCGGAGGAGCCACAAGCAUGCACCCUGGAUUGUGGCUGUUCCUGGUUUCUUUAUGCCUGACCAAAGAACUGGCAGAAGCGGGACAGAAGAAAUCCUAUGGAGAGCCAUGUGGGGGCCAAGAUUGCAGUGGAAGCUGUACAUGCUCUCCUGAGAAGGGAACAAGAG
This is a long non-coding RNA of Peromyscus eremicus (cactus mouse), 400 nucleotides long. RefSeq lists it as uncharacterized. The record is from RefSeq and is a predicted model, not a curated record. Lineage: Eukaryota; Metazoa; Chordata; Mammalia; Rodentia; Cricetidae. The transcript is spliced from 3 exons.